UACGUAGGUGGCAAGCGUUGUCCGGAUUUAUUGGGUUUAAAGGGUGCGUAGGCGGUUUAUUAAGUCAGCGGUGAAAGACGAUAGCUUAACUAUGGAGGUGCCAUUGAUACUGAUGAACUUGAGUGCACACGAGGUAAGCGGAAUGGACGGUGUAGCGGUGAAAUGCAUAGAGAUCGUCUAGAACACCGAUAGUGAAGACAGCUUACCAGAGUGCAACUGACGAUGAGGCACGAAAGUGUGGGGAUCAAACAGG
This 253-nucleotide ribosomal RNA is filed under the name uncultured bacterium. Its description in RNAcentral is "partial 16S ribosomal RNA". It matches the Rfam family "Bacterial small subunit ribosomal RNA", at positions 524 to 776 of the family's 1533-position model. The record is from RNAcentral.